RNAcentral lists this ribosomal RNA (275 nucleotides) under uncultured prokaryote. RNAcentral's name for it is "partial 16S ribosomal RNA". It matches the Rfam family "Bacterial small subunit ribosomal RNA", at positions 524 to 798 of the family's 1533-position model. The record is from RNAcentral.
CACGUAGGAGGCAAACGUUAUCCGGAUUUACUGGGCGUAAAGCGCGUGUAGGUGGUUCUGUAAGUAGGGCGUGAAAGCUCCCGGCUCAACUGGGAGAGGCCGUUCUAAACUGCAGAGCUAGAGGAUGGUAGAGGGAGGUGGAAUUCCAGGUGUAGCGGUGGAAUGCGCAGAUAUCUGGAGGAACACCAGUGGCGAAGGCGGCCACCUGGACCAUUCCUGACACUCAGACGCGAAAGCUAGGGUAGCAAACGGGAUUAGAUACCCCGGUAGUCCCU